AGAGUUUGAUCAUGGCUCAGAUUGAACGCUGGCGGCAGGCCUAACACAUGCAAGUCGAGCGGAUGAGAAGAGCUUGCUCUUCGAUUCAGCGGCGGACGGGUGAGUAAUGCCUAGGAAUCUGCCUGGUAGUGGGGGACAACGUCUCGAAAGGGACGCUAAUACCGCAUACGCCCUACGGGAGAAAGCAGGGGACCUUCGGGCCUUGCGCUAUCAGAUGAGCCUAGGUCGGAUUAGCUAGUUGGCGGGGUAACGGCCCACCAAGGCGACGAUGACUAGGGGAUCUGAGAGGAUGACCCCCCCACACUGGUACUGAGACACGGACCAGACUCCUACGGGAGGCAGCAGUAAGGAAUAUUGGUCAAUGGAGGGAACUCUGAACCAGCCAUGCCGCGUGCAGGAAGACAGCCCUCUGGGUCGUAAACUGCUUUUAUUCGGGAAUAAACCUUUCUACGUGUAGGAAGCUGAAUGUACCGAAGGAAUAAGGAUCGGCUAACUCCGUGCCAGCAGCCGCGGUAAUACGGAGGAUCCAAGCGUUAUCCGGAUUUAUUGGGUUUAAAGGGUGCGUAGGCGGCUUAUUAAGUCAGGGGUGAAAGACGGUGGCUCAACCAUCGCAGUGCCCUUGAUACUGAUGAGCUUGAAUACACUAGAGGUAGGCGGAACGUGACAAGUAGCGGUGAAAUGCAUAGAUAUGUCACAGAACACCGAUUGCGAAGGCAGCUUACUAUGGUGUUAUUGACGCUGAGGCACGAAAGCGUGGGGAUCAAACAGGAUUAGAUACCCNUGGUAGUCCACGCCCUAAACGAUGAAUACUCGCUGUUAGCGAUAUACAGUUAGCGGCUAAGCGAAAGCGUUAAGUAUUCCACCUGGGGAGUACGCCCGCAAGGGUGAAACUCAAAGGAAUUGACGGGGGCCCGCACAAGCGGAGGAGCAUGUGGUUUAAUUCGAUGAUACGCGAGGAACCUUACCCGGGCUUGAAAGUUAGUGAAUGAUCUAGAGAUAGAUCAGUGAGCAAUCACACGAAACUAGGUGCUGCAUGGCUGUCGUCAGCUCGUGCCGUGAGGUGUUGGGUUAAGUCCCGCAACGAGCGCAACCCCUAUGUUUAGUUGCCAGCACGUUAAGGUGGGGACUCUAAACAGACUGCCUGUGCAAACAGAGAGGAAGGAGGGGACGACGUCAAGUCAUCAUGGCCCUUACGUCCGGGGCUACACACGUGCUACAAUGGAUGGUACAGAGGGCAGCAAGCUGGCAACAGCAAGCGAAUCUCAAAAAGCCAUUCACAGUUCGGAUAGAGGUCUGCAACUCGACCUCUUGAAGUUGGAUUCGCUAGUAAUCGCGUAUCAGCAAUGACGCGGUGAAUACGUUCCCGGGCCUUGUACACACCGCCCGUCAAGCCAUGGAAGUUGGGGGUACCUAAAGUAUGUAACCGUAAGGAGCGUCCUAGGGUAAAACCGGUAACUGGGGCUAAGUCGUAACAAGGUAGCCGU
Molecule: ribosomal RNA, 1484 nt
Filed under: uncultured Pedobacter sp.
Lineage: Bacteria; Pseudomonadati; Bacteroidota; Sphingobacteriia; Sphingobacteriales; Sphingobacteriaceae
Description: bacterial SSU rRNA
Rfam family: Bacterial small subunit ribosomal RNA
Source: RNAcentral